CCUACGGGUGGCAGCAGUGAGGAAUAUUGGUCAAUGGACGAGAGUCUGAACCAGCCAAGUAGCGUGAAGGAUGACUGCCCUAUGGGUUGUAAACUUCUUUUAUAUGGGAAUAAAAUGGUCCACGUGUGGGAUUUUGUAUGUACCAUAUGAAUAAGGAUCGGCUAACUCCGUGCCAGCAGCCGCGGUAAUACGGAGGAUCCGAGCGUUAUCCGGAUUUAUUGGGGUUAAAGGGAGCGUAGGUGGGUUGUUAAGUCAGUUGGGAAAGUUUGGGGCUCAACCGUAAAAUUGCAGUUGAAACUGGCAGUCUUGAGUACAGGAGAGGUGGGCGGAAUGCGUGGUGUAGCGGUGAAAUGCUUAGAUAUCACGAAGAACUCCGAUUGUGAAGGCAGCUCACUGGACUGCAACUGACACUGAGGCUCGAAAGUGUGGGUAUCAAACAGGAUUAGAUACCCUAGUAGUC
RNAcentral lists this ribosomal RNA (460 nucleotides) under uncultured bacterium. RNAcentral's name for it is "partial 16S ribosomal RNA". It matches the Rfam family "Bacterial small subunit ribosomal RNA", at positions 338 to 795 of the family's 1533-position model. The record is from RNAcentral.